CGGACCUCAUAAGUGCGUCGUAGUCCGGAUUGGAGUCUGCAACUCGACUCCAUGAAGUCGGAAUCGCUAGUAAUCGUGGAUCAGAAUGCCACGGUGAAUACGUUCCCGGGCCUUGUACACACCGCCCGUCACACCAUGGGAGUGGGUUGCAAAAGAAGUAGGUAGCUUAACCUUCGGGAGGGCGCUUACCACUUUGUGAUUCAUGACUGGGGUGAAGUCGUAACAAGGUAACCGUAGGGGAACCUGCGGUUGGAUCACCUCCUUACCUUAAAGAA
RNAcentral lists this ribosomal RNA (275 nucleotides) under Escherichia sp. E1130. RNAcentral describes it as "partial 16S ribosomal RNA". It matches the Rfam family "Bacterial small subunit ribosomal RNA", at positions 1268 to 1533 of the family's 1533-position model. Lineage: Bacteria; Pseudomonadati; Pseudomonadota; Gammaproteobacteria; Enterobacterales; Enterobacteriaceae. The record is from RNAcentral.